This 483-nucleotide ribosomal RNA is filed under the name uncultured bacterium. Its description in RNAcentral is "partial 16S ribosomal RNA". It matches the Rfam family "Bacterial small subunit ribosomal RNA", at positions 30 to 507 of the family's 1533-position model. The record is from RNAcentral.
AUUGAACGCUGGCGGCAGGCCUAACACAUGCAAGUCGAGCGGAUGAAGGGAGCUUGCUCCUGGAUUCAGCGGCGGACGGGUGAGUAAUGCCUAGGAAUCUGCCUGGUAGUGGGGAUAACGUCCGGAAACGGGCGCUAAUACCGCAUACGUCCUGAGGGAGAAAGUGGGGGAUCUUCGGACCUCACGCUAUCAGAUGAGCCUAGGUCGGAUUAGCUAGUUGGUGGGGUAAAGGCCUACCAAGGCGACGAUCCGUAACUGGUCUGAGAGGAUGAUCAGUCACACUGGAACUGAGACACGGUCCAGACUCCUACGGGAGGCAGCAGUGGGGAAUAUUGGACAAUGGGCGAAAGCCUGAUCCAGCCAUGCCGCGUGUGUGAAGAAGGUCUUUGGAUUGUAAAGCACUUUAAGUUGGGAGGAAGGGCAGUAAGUUAAUACCUUGCUGUUUUGACGUUACCAACAGAAUAAGCACCGGCUAACUUCGUG